Molecule: long non-coding RNA, 345 nt
Filed under: Prunus persica (peach)
Lineage: Eukaryota; Viridiplantae; Streptophyta; Magnoliopsida; Rosales; Rosaceae
Description: long non-coding RNA (PPER_LNC007082)
Source: RNAcentral
AAAUAACGAACAAGCAUUGCUUCAAGAGAAGGUAAUUACAAGCAAACCCGAAUUUCCUAGAAGCAUCUGAUCCAAAGCUUAAUUACAUACGAAGUUUGCUUGUUAUAUAUAUAGAAAAAAGAAUUGGAUGCAUUGCUUAAAAAUAUGGACAAGAGGGGAAGACUAAGAAAGCGAUGAAAUUAUGGAAUUUGGGGUUAUGGAGGAAUCCACACAUCAUCGAGAAUGAGAAGAACCUUUUUGUCACAAAUUAAGGAACCUUCUUAUCACUGUGGAUCCUUCAUGUACAUCAUCCACCCCUGCACUUAACAAUAAAUCGAUUGAUUUUACACUGGAGUCUAAUCCAAC